UUAAAUUGAAGAGUUUGAUCAUGGCUCAGAUUGAACGCUGGCGGCAGGCCUAACACAUGCAAGUCGAACGGUAACAGGAAGAAGCUUGCUUCUUUGCUGACGAGUGGCGGACGGGUGAGUAAUGUCUGGGAAACUGCCUGAUGGAGGGGGAUAACUACUGGAAACGGUAGCUAAUACCGCAUAACGUCGCAAGACCAAAGAGGGGGACCUUCGGGCCUCUUGCCAUCGGAUGUGCCCAGAUGGGAUUAGCUUGUUGGUGGGGUAACGGCUCACCAAGGCGACGAUCCCUAGCUGGUCUGAGAGGAUGACCAGCCACACUGGAACUGAGACACGGUCCAGACUCCUACGGGAGGCAGCAGUGGGGAAUAUUGCACAAUGGGCGCAAGCCUGAUGCAGCCAUGCCGCGUGUAUGAAGAAGGCCUUCGGGUUGUAAAGUACUUUCAGCGGGGAGGAAGGGAGUAAAGUUAAUACCUUUACUCAUUGACGUUACCCGCAGAAGAAGCACCGGCUAACUCCGUGCCAGCAGCCG
RNAcentral lists this ribosomal RNA (529 nucleotides) under Escherichia coli. RNAcentral describes it as "bacterial SSU rRNA". It matches the Rfam family "Bacterial small subunit ribosomal RNA", at positions 1 to 517 of the family's 1533-position model. The record is from RNAcentral. Lineage: Bacteria; Pseudomonadati; Pseudomonadota; Gammaproteobacteria; Enterobacterales; Enterobacteriaceae.